CGAUCGCACAGCACCCUACACGGGUGUCAAACUCGUCUGUAACCCGGCAACGUCAUCCGCGCGAUGGCGUGACGACCCAACUCUACCCGCGCUGCCACCAUCCGGCAGCCUCACC
Non-coding RNA from Cardiobacterium valvarum F0432, 115 nucleotides. The record is from Rfam. NCBI's taxonomy places the organism in Bacteria, Pseudomonadati, Pseudomonadota, Gammaproteobacteria, Cardiobacteriales, Cardiobacteriaceae.